AGCCUCCUGAAUCCGUGCCGAGACUUCGUCAGACACUUGGCCACCAGGACUGAUGCGACUUUCAAAAAAAGUGAAACG
This 78-nucleotide microRNA precursor is filed under the name Schistosoma mansoni. RNAcentral's name for it is "mir-3492 microRNA precursor family". It matches the Rfam family "mir-3492 microRNA precursor family". The record is from Rfam by way of RNAcentral. Lineage: Eukaryota; Metazoa; Platyhelminthes; Trematoda; Strigeidida; Schistosomatidae.